GACGAACGCUGGCGGCGUGCUUAACACAUGCAAGUCGAACGGAAAGGCCCUGCUUUUGUGGGGUGCUCGAGUGGCGAACGGGUGAGUAACACGUGAGUAACCUGCCCUUGACUUUGGGAUAACUUCAGGAAACUGGGGCUAAUACCGGAUAGGAGCUCCUGCUGCAUGGUGGGGGUUGGAAAGUUUCGGCGGUUGGGGAUGGACUCGCGGCUUAUCAGCUUGUUGGGGGGGUAGUGGCUGACCAAGGCUUUGACGGGUAGCCGGCAUGAGAGGGUGACCGGCGACAUUGGGACUGAGAUACGGCCCAGACUCCUACGGGAGGCAGCAGUGGGGAAUAUUGCACAAUGGGCGGAAGCCUGAUGCAGCAACGCCGCGUGCGGGAUGACGGCCUUCGGGUUGUAAACAGCUUUCGCCUGUGACGAAGCGUGAGUGACGGUAAUGGGUAAAGAAGCACCGGCUAACUACGUG
This 468-nucleotide ribosomal RNA is filed under the name uncultured bacterium. RNAcentral describes it as "partial 16S ribosomal RNA". It matches the Rfam family "Bacterial small subunit ribosomal RNA", at positions 28 to 507 of the family's 1533-position model. The record is from RNAcentral.